AACAAACGCUGGCGGCGUGCCUAAUACAUGCAAGUCAAACGGGUAGCAAUACUAGUGGCGCACGGGUGAGGAAUACAUGGGUAAUCUGCCCUCGAGUUGGGGAUAACCAGUCGAAAGAUUGGCUAAUACCGGAUAAGACCACAAGAUCUGCGGAUCAAGGGGUUAAAGGUUUUUCGCUUGAGGAUGAGCCCAUGUGGGAUUAGCUAGUUGGUGAGGUAAUGGCUCACCAAGGCGACGAUCCCUAACUGGUCUUAGAGGAUGAUCAGUCACACUGGAACUGAGACACGGUCCAGACUCCUACGGGAGGCAGCAGUAGGGAAUAUUGCACAAUGGGGAAACCCUGAUGCAGCGACGCCGCGUGAGUGAUGAAGGCCUCGGGUCGUAAAGCUCUGUCGUAUGGGAAUAACACAAUGGAAUGUACCAU
RNAcentral lists this ribosomal RNA (424 nucleotides) under uncultured bacterium. Its description in RNAcentral is "bacterial SSU rRNA". It matches the Rfam family "Bacterial small subunit ribosomal RNA", at positions 29 to 481 of the family's 1533-position model. The record is from RNAcentral.